RNAcentral lists this ribosomal RNA (468 nucleotides) under uncultured bacterium. Its description in RNAcentral is "partial 16S ribosomal RNA". It matches the Rfam family "Bacterial small subunit ribosomal RNA", at positions 28 to 507 of the family's 1533-position model. The record is from RNAcentral.
GACGAACGCUGGCGGCGUGCUUAACACAUGCAAGUCGAACGGAAAGGCCCUGCUUUUGGGGGGUGCUCGAGUUGCGAACGGGUGAGUAACACGUGAGUAACCUGCCCUUGACUUUGGGAUAACUUCAUGAAACUUGGUCUAAUACCGGAUAGGAUCUCCUGCUGCAUGGUGGGGGUUGGAAAGUUUCGGCGGUUGGGGAUGGACUCGCCGCUUAUCAGCUUGUUGGUUGGGUAGUGGCUUACCAAGGCUUUGACGGGUAGCCGGCCUGAGCGGGUGACCGGCCACAUUAGGACUGAGAUACGGCCCAGACUCCUACGGGACGCAGCAGUGGGGAAUAUUACACAAUGGGCGGAAGCCUGAUGCAGCAACGCCGCGUGGGGGAUGACGGCAUUCGGGUUGUAAACCGCUUUCGCCUGUGACGAGGCGUGAGUGACGGUAAUGGGUAAAGAAGCACCGGCUAACUACGUG